This 175-nucleotide ribosomal RNA is filed under the name Rutstroemia bolaris. RNAcentral's name for it is "partial ribosomal RNA". The record is from RNAcentral. Lineage: Eukaryota; Fungi; Ascomycota; Leotiomycetes; Helotiales; Rutstroemiaceae.
GUUCAUGCCCUCACGGGUAGACCUCCCACCCUUGUGUAUUUAUACUUUNUUGCUUUGGCGAGCUGCCCUGGGCUUAACUGCCUCANAGCCUCAAGCUUUCGAGCCUGAGAGUCGCUCGCCGGAGGAAAACUAAACCCUGAUAAUUAAUGUCGUCUGAGUACUAUAUAAUAGUUAN